RNAcentral lists this long non-coding RNA (741 nucleotides) under Homo sapiens (human). Its description in RNAcentral is "non-protein coding LINC02336:4". The record is from RNAcentral. Lineage: Eukaryota; Metazoa; Chordata; Mammalia; Primates; Hominidae.
UGGACCAAUCAGCAGGAUGUGGGCAGGGCCAAAUAAGGGAAUAAAAGCUGGCCACCAGAGCCAGGAGUGGCAACCCACUCCGGUCCCCUUCCACGCUGUGGAAGCUUUGUUCUUUCACUCUUCACAGUACAUUUUGCUCCCUCUUUGGAUCUGUACUACCUUUAUGAGCUGUAACACUCACUGUGAAGGUAUGCAGCUUCACUCCUGAAGUCAGACCACGAACCCACCCAGGGGGGGAACAAACAACUUCAGACAUGCCACCUUUAAGAGCUGUAACACUCACUGUGAAGGUCUGUGGUUUCAUUCCUGAAGUCAGCAAGACCAUGAACACACCCAAAGGAAGGAACUCUGGACACAUCUGAACGUCUGAAGGAACAAACUCCAGACACACCAUCUCUAAGAACUGUAACACUCACCACGAGGAUCCACAGCUUCAUUCUUGAAGUCAGCGAGACAAAGAACCCACCGGAAGGAACCAAUUCUGGGCACAAUGAGGUUCCUGACCAAGGGGAGUAAAGGAGAUGGAAUGAAGCUUGUGUGCUGUACUUCAAGUCAUGCAUCCAGUACCAUUUUCCUGCACAUAAAGCGCUAUCUAUUCAUUAAGAUUUCUAGUUGCAGAGCUGGAUCCAUCCAUAAAAAGAACCAUUUUUCUAAUUUAUAGAAAGAUGUCUCAUGGCCUAGAAACAGGCCUUGAGCAAGAGCAAGCCCUGCCUUUCUCAUAUAGAAUAUGUACUGUUUUCU